GCCGGCGUAGCUCAAUUGGCAGAGUAGCGGUCUCCAAAACCGAAGGCUGCGGGUUCGAAUCCUGUCGCCGGCG
Molecule: transfer RNA, 73 nt
Filed under: candidate division WWE3 bacterium CG23_combo_of_CG06-09_8_20_14_all_40_14
Lineage: Bacteria; candidate division WWE3
Description: tRNA-Trp
Rfam family: tRNA
About the family: Transfer RNA (tRNA) molecules are approximately 80 nucleotides in length. Their secondary structure includes four short double-helical elements and three loops (D, anti-codon, and T loops). Further hydrogen bonds mediate the characteristic L-shaped molecular structure. tRNAs have two regions of fundamental functional importance: the anti-codon, which is responsible for specific mRNA codon recognition, and the 3' end, to which the tRNAs corresponding amino acid is attached (by aminoacyl-tRNA synthetases). tRNAs cope with the degeneracy of the genetic code in two manners: having more than one tRNA (with a specific anti-codon) for a particular amino acid; and 'wobble' base-pairing, i.e. permitting non-standard base-pairing at the 3rd anti-codon position.
Source: RNAcentral